Molecule: ribosomal RNA, 253 nt
Filed under: uncultured bacterium
Lineage: Bacteria
Description: partial 16S ribosomal RNA
Rfam family: Bacterial small subunit ribosomal RNA
Source: RNAcentral
UACAGAGGGUGCGAGCGUUGUCCGGAAUCACUGGGCGUAAAGGGCGCGUAGGUGGCGACCCAAGUCAAUGGUGAAAGCUCGUCGCUCAACGACGAGUCGGCCACUGAUACUGGGUUGCUUGAGCACUGUAGAGGCUAAUGGAAUUCCGGGUGUAGCGGUGGAAUGCGUAGAGAUCCGGAAGAACACCGGUGGCGAAGGCGGUUAGCUGGGCAGUUGCUGACACUGAGGCGCGACAGCGUGGGGAGCAAACAGG